GGUUAAGCGACUAAGCGUACACGGUGGAUGCCCUGGCAGUCAGAGGCGAUGAAGGGCGUGCUAAUCUGCGAUAAGCGCCGGUAAGGUGAUAUGAACCGUUAUAACCGGCGAUACCCGAAUGGGGAAACCCAGUGUGAUUCGUCACACUAUCAUUAACUGAAUCCAUAGGUUAAUGAGGCGAACCGGGGGAACUGAAACAUCUAAGUACCCCGAGGAAAAGAAAUCAACCGAGAUUCCCCCAGUAGCGGCGAGCGAACGGGGAGGAGCCCAGAGCCUGAAUCAGCAUGUGUGUUAGUGGAAGCGUCUGGAAAGGCGCGCGAUACAGGGUGACAGCCCCGUACACAAAAGCGCAUGUGCUGUGAGCUCGAUGAGUAGGGCGGGACACGUGGUAUCCUGUCUGAAUAUGGGGGGACCAUCCUCCAAGGCUAAAUACUCCUGACUGACCGAUAGUGAACCAGUACCGUGAGGGAAAGGCGAAAAGAACCCCGGCGAGGGGAGUGAAAAAGAACCUGAAACCGUGUACGUACAAGCAGUGGGAGCCCCACCACCAAAGCAUUUGCUGUACCGCGUUGACGGAGCGAAGCGACGUCAAACCGAUAAAACAGCAGUGUAAAGUGAGCCGCAGGGCGCUUUGCGCGACAGCGCAAAGGCAGGCGGUUUCGCGUAGCGAAAGCGAAUGCUUUGGGGUGGGGUGACUGCGUACCUUUUGUAUAAUGGGUCAGCGACUUAUAUUCUGUAGCAAGGUUAACCGAAUAGGGGAGCCGGAGGGAAACCGAGUCUUAAUUGGGCGUUAAGUUGCAGGGUAUAGACCCGAAACCCGGUGAUCUAGCCAUGGGCAGGUUGAAGGUUGGGUAACACUAACUGGAGGACCGAACCGACUAAUGUUGAAAAAUUAGCGGAUGACCUGUGGCUGGGGGUGAAAGGCCAAUCAAACCGGGAGAUAGCUGGUUCUCCCCGAAAGCUAUUUAGGUAGCGCCUCGUGAAUUCAUCUCCGGGGGUAGAGCACUGUUUCGGCUAGGGGGCCAUCCCGGCUUACCAACCCGAUGCAAACUGCGAAUACCGGAGAAUGUUAUCACGGGAGACACACGGCGGGUGCUAACGUCCGUCGUGAAGAGGGAAACAACCCAGACCGCCAGCUAAGGUCCCAAAGUCAUGGUUAAGUGGGAAACGAUGUGGGAAGGCCCAGACAGCCAGGAUGUUGGCUUAGAAGCAGCCAUCAUUUAAAGAAAGCGUAAUAGCUCACUGGUCGAGUCGGCCUGCGCGGAAGAUGUAACGGGGCUAAACCAUGCACCGAAGCUGCGGCAGCGACACUGUGUGUUGUUGGGUAGGGGAGCGUUCUGUAAGCCUGUGAAGGUGUGUCGUGAGGCAUGCUGGAGGUAUCAGAAGUGCGAAUGCUGACAUAAGUAACGAUAAAGCGGGUGAAAAGCCCGCUCGCCGGAAGACCAAGGGUUCCUGUCCAACGUUAAUCGGGGCAGGGUGAGUCGACCCCUAAGGCGAGGCCGAAAGGCGUAGUCGAUGGGAAACGGGUUAAUAUUCCCGUACUUGGUGUUACUGCGAAGGGGGGACGGAGAAGGCUAUGUUGGCCGGGCGACGGUUGUCCCGGUUUAAGCGUGUAGGUGUGUGUUCCAGGUAAAUCCGGUUCACUUUAACACUGAGGCGUGACGACGAGGCACUACGGUGCUGAAGCAACAAAUGCCCUGCUUCCAGGAAAAGCCUCUAAGCAUCAGGUAACAUCAAAUCGUACCCCAAACCGACACAGGUGGUCAGGUAGAGAAUACCAAGGCGCUUGAGAGAACUCGGGUGAAGGAACUAGGCAAAAUGGUGCCGUAACUUCGGGAGAAGGCACGCUGACACGUAGGUGAAGUGAUUUACUCAUGGAGCUGAAGUCAGUCGAAGAUACCAGCUGGCUGCAACUGUUUAUUAAAAACACAGCACUGUGCAAACACGAAAGUGGACGUAUACGGUGUGACGCCUGCCCGGUGCCGGAAGGUUAAUUGAUGGGGUCAGCGCAAGCGAAGCUCCUGAUCGAAGCCCCGGUAAACGGCGGCCGUAACUAUAACGGUCCUAAGGUAGCGAAAUUCCUUGUCGGGUAAGUUCCGACCUGCACGAAUGGCGUAAUGAUGGCCAGGCUGUCUCCACCCGAGACUCAGUGAAAUUGAACUCGCUGUGAAGAUGCAGUGUACCCGCGGCAAGACGGAAAGACCCCGUGAACCUUUACUAUAGCUUGACACUGAACAUUGAGCCUUGAUGUGUAGGAUAGGUGGGAGGCUUUGAAGUGUGGACGCCAGUCUGCAUGGAGCCGACCUUGAAAUACCACCCUUUAAUGUUUGAUGUUCUAACGUGGACCCGUUACCCGGGUUGCGGACAGUGUCUGGUGGGUAGUUUGACUGGGGCGGUCUCCUCCUAAAGAGUAACGGAGGAGCACGAAGGUUGGCUAAUCCUGGUCGGACAUCAGGAGGUUAGUGCAAUGGCAUAAGCCAGCUUGACUGCGAGCGUGACGGCGCGAGCAGGUGCGAAAGCAGGUCAUAGUGAUCCGGUGGUUCUGAAUGGAAGGGCCAUCGCUCAACGGAUAAAAGGUACUCCGGGGAUAACAGGCUGAUACCGCCCAAGAGUUCAUAUCGACGGCGGUGUUUGGCACCUCGAUGUCGGCUCAUCACAUCCUGGGGCUGAAGUAGGUCCCAAGGGUAUGGCUGUUCGCCAUUUAAAGUGGUACGCGAGCUGGGUUUAGAACGUCGUGAGACAGUUCGGUCCCUAUCUGCCGUGGGCGCUGGAGAACUGAGGGGGGCUGCUCCUAGUACGAGAGGACCGGAGUGGACGCAUCACUGGUGUUCGGGUUGUCAUGCCAAUGGCACUGCCCGGUAGCUAAAUGCGGAAGAGAUAAGUGCUGAAAGCAUCUAAGCACGAAACUUGCCCCGAGAUGAGUUCUCCCUGAGACUUAAAGUCUCCUGAAGGAACGUUGAAGACGACGACGUUGAUAGGCCGGGUGUGUAAGCGCAGCGAUGCGUUGAGCUAACCGGUACUAAUGAACCGUGAGGCUUAACCUU
RNAcentral lists this ribosomal RNA (3044 nucleotides) under Salmonella enterica. RNAcentral's name for it is "23S ribosomal RNA". It matches the Rfam family "Bacterial large subunit ribosomal RNA". The record is from RNAcentral. RNAcentral also lists the same sequence under 2 other names. Lineage: Bacteria; Pseudomonadati; Pseudomonadota; Gammaproteobacteria; Enterobacterales; Enterobacteriaceae.